UACGUAGGGUGCGAGCGUUAAUCGGAAUUACUGGGCGUAAAGUGUGCGCAGGUGGCCGCGCAAGUCGAGUGUGAAAUCCCCGGGCUUAACUUGGGAAUUGCGCUCGAAACUACGUGGCUCGAGUGUGGCAGAGGAAGGUGGAAUUCCAGGUGUAGCGGUGAAAUGCGUAGAUAUCUGGAGGAACACCGGUGGCGAAGGCGGCAUCCUGGACCAACACUGACACUGAGGAGCGAAAGCCAGGGGAGCAAACGGG
RNAcentral lists this ribosomal RNA (253 nucleotides) under uncultured bacterium. RNAcentral's name for it is "partial 16S ribosomal RNA". It matches the Rfam family "Bacterial small subunit ribosomal RNA", at positions 524 to 776 of the family's 1533-position model. The record is from RNAcentral.